UACGUAGGAGGCGAGCGUUGUCCGGAAUUACUGGGCGUAAAGAGCGCGUAGGCGGCACGGUACGACCGAUGUCAAAGAUCCCGGCUCAACUGGGAAGCGGCAUGGGUAACGGCCGAGCUAUGAGUGCAGGAGAGGGAAGUGGAACUCCGGGAGUAGCGGUGAAAUGCGUAGAGACCCGGAGGAACACCAGUGGCGAAGGCGGCUUCCUGGUCUGCGACUGACGCUGUGGCGCGAAAGCUAGGGGAGCGAAUGGG
Molecule: ribosomal RNA, 254 nt
Filed under: uncultured bacterium
Lineage: Bacteria
Description: partial 16S ribosomal RNA
Rfam family: Bacterial small subunit ribosomal RNA
Source: RNAcentral